GAAAAUAUAUAUUAAAUAGAGACUCCAAUCAAAAAUUAUUCUGACGGCCGAGAAUUUAGGUUUUCCGGCAUUAAAUUCCUAUAUUCCCAUGGUGCCAUUUUUUCCGCCCCAGUCAUUUUUUUCCGGUGCCUUUUUUUCUGGUCGGCCAUAUUUUCCGGUGCCAUUUUUUCCUAAAUUCACAAGUGAGUGCAACAAUAUUGUUGGUCAAUUUUAUUGUAAAGUCCCAUUUACACGAUGCGACUAAUUCGUGUAUGAUCCUUAUCCUGGCGUAUGUAUUCCAAUAAAUGCGCGUAAGACAUUUCAAAUUUCGCCAUAAACUGAUGAACAGGAAUAGUAAGCAGUCGUUUUCAUACCCCAGAAUGACAAUCGUAUACGACCAUUAGUAAGUACACGAGUAUAGUCGUAUUGUGUAAAUGGACGUUAGGGCGUUCUGACUGUGUAAUCAGGCAAAUUAAAUACUAAAUAGAAAGGGGGGGUCAUAGAUAUCUCAUAGAUUCUGCCGAAACGUAUAUAGAGGAUAUUACACGGCGGCGCGAAGAUAUGACUUUUUAUCUUCGAGUGGUGAAAACAAUAUUUUAUGUAAACUAACGUAAAAUAUUGUUUUUAACACGAGAAGAUAGAAGUCAUAUCUUCAAGCCAACGUGUAAUGUUCUGUUUAUUAUAUAGUCCCAAGCAAAAAAUUGUAUAAAUACUAAAAGUCACG
Non-coding RNA from Paramuricea clavata, 703 nucleotides. The record is from the annotation of a GenBank genome assembly. Lineage: Eukaryota; Metazoa; Cnidaria; Anthozoa; Malacalcyonacea; Plexauridae.